Doryrhamphus excisus (bluestripe pipefish) is the source of this 1881-nucleotide non-coding RNA. The record is from RefSeq and is a predicted model, not a curated record. NCBI's taxonomy places the organism in Eukaryota, Metazoa, Chordata, Actinopteri, Syngnathiformes, Syngnathidae.
CAUCUCGUCGGCGUAUUUGCAGAACGUAUUCCCGAAUUUGGACCACACUUUGUAGGGAACCGUGAUGGAGUUGCGGUACGUGGGCUUCACCUCGCUUACCCUCAUGAACACGCCGUACUUGUUGGAGCCCACGUCGAAGAAGAAGCGCUUGUUGUCCACAGUCAAUGACGAGCCCUCCGGCAGCUCUGCGGGCUCCUCUUCCACGCCGUAAUCGUCAAUAAGUUUAGCCAAAGCGUCGCGGAACUCAAUAAGUCCCUGGGCCGGGAGUGCGAUGGUCUGGCCCUGCGUGGAUCCCAAACCGGGCCCCCGGUUGACGGUCUGCCGGAUCCUCAAGAACCGCCCCCUCUGGUUCUCUUUCAGGUCCAUGUAAUACUUCCGAUUCUCCCGCACUAGGAACUCGCUUUUGAGCGCCCGCCGCGGCUCAUCCUGCACCAUACCGGGGUUGCUGGGACCCAGCUGGGCGUAGUGUUCGAUGAAGUCCCCCAAGUAGUCGCGGAACUCCACCGCCACCGACAUGGACAGAGUGAGGCGGCUCUUGUUGCCACCGGCCCCGACUUCUGCUAUCUUCAAGAAGCGGCCUUUGGCGUUCUGCUUUACGUCCAAAUAGAAGCGUUUGUUUUGGAUGUCAACUCGCUUGGACGCCAGUUCCUGAGUCUCAUGCUGGAGGCCGGAAGCCGAGCCCGCCCCUCCUGUUGCCAAGUGCAUGGAACCGAAGCCUGGGCCCGUGGCCGCUCCUCCCUGCUCACUUCCACUGUCUCUGUCCGCCAUGAUGCUGCCUGCCUUCUCCCUCAGUCUACCGCAAAGCCUCCUCCAGUCACAGUCGGCGACGCUGCUCUCGCGAGAUCUGCCGAGAGGUAUACAAACAUGAGGGGGAGGGAUUAGCAUUAGCAUCCGCGACGCCGCUUGACAUACGUGGGGAGAACUUUGCCUUUAAAAAUGGCUACCAACACAUUGGCGGCGUGCAGCGAACGAGCCAACGGGACAAGCCGCGCAUGAGGGCCUCUGCUCCGGGAUCGUCUAGUCCAACGCGUCGGUGUGCUGCUGGAGCUCCCUCCCAAAGAUGGACCAGGCAGAAACGGCGAGUCGUGGCACAGAGGAGACCCAGACACUCACCAAGCAGGCGCCGUACGCUCCACCUGUGAUGUCAACACGCACUAGCUGUGAUCUACAGGCUCUGGCUCCCUCUUCUGGUCAUGUGGAAGAACUGCAGCGUCGCUCCUUCUGGACUCACAGGCACGACAACUCACUUUCUUUCAUUAUCCUGGUUCAUUUUACAUCACUUGACAAUUUCUCAGACAACCAAGUACAACAUGAUGUUUUCUUAUCUCAAAGCAAUGAUAUUACAUCACCAGAAGAUCAUUUAAUUUAUUGACAUUAUAUUCUGUAUAUGCAUUUUUGUCCUCUAUGGAUAGAUAAAAUCUCUACAAGCAGGGACAUCCUGAGAUUUCCAGUGAUUUGUCCAAUAAAAUAGAACCUGCCAAAAAUGUCUUUCAUACUGACCAGUAUGACCAAAACGUAAAUGAUCAGUUGAAUAUUUUUAAAGCAGUGAGUAUGAGGUUGUUGAGUUAGUAUUUAAAACAAGAUGCAGACAUGUAUGAGGUGCAACCAGGAAGAAAACGGCUUCUUGCAGUACAACAUAUCCAUGGUAUAAAUGAAAGUAUGUAGCUUGAAAUUGACAAAAUGUGACAAAAAAAGUUAAAAAGCGACUGUUUUCAAUGUUUUUUUUAAUGUCUAAUGUUAAAAUAACUGUAAAAAUAUAGGCAAGGGGACUAUAAACUGCUUAACAUUGUAAAGCUUGUAUAGAUUAAGCAUGAUGGGACAAUGCAUCCUAUUGUUCAUGGCGUGCAGCUCUUGGAAAGUAAAGUUUAUUUUUGUUCAGAA